RNAcentral lists this long non-coding RNA (539 nucleotides) under Monodelphis domestica (gray short-tailed opossum). RNAcentral's name for it is "lncRNA (ENSMODG00000039257.1)". Lineage: Eukaryota; Metazoa; Chordata; Mammalia; Didelphimorphia; Didelphidae. The record is from RNAcentral.
GAUGGCCUUCAACAGACAUGUGCAAAAAAAAGGACAGACCUCUGGGUGGUCCUAAGUCAAGCUUGAGCCACCAUUGGCACAUGUGAGAUGCAGGAAGUGAGGUAGAGAACAGCUUCUGGAGUUCUCGUGACUUCCUGUAGAGAGGGUAGAGGGCAGUUCGAUCCUGGAGCUUGAGCUUGGAGGAGCCCCACAGAUAACUUUCCUUCAGAAUGGUCACGCUUUAUUAAGUACCUGUUGAAUUGCACUGAUCUGAAUUCAAGGAAGGAAGGAAAAAAAUUGCUAUCUAUUGUUUAUCAUGGAAUUACCCAUCUAGAAUGGACCUCAAAGACCAUCUAGUCUCACUCCAUUUGAGAAAUGACAGAAAUGAGGAUCAGAGAGUUCAUGUGAGCUUUCCUGGUUCAUGCAGAUCAAUACUGGAGUCGAUGGUUUGGCUUUUCAGCUCAGCUUAGGCAGUGGACAUUAGGGUGUAUGGUGGGCUGAACUCCUCUGAAUCAACAAGCAACUUGGCUCAACUUCUCUAGCCUGACCCUUCUCUGAUC